CAGACUGAAAUAAUCAGCUCUGGUUUACACAGAUAAUUGCCUGUUACACAAUAAGAAGGACAGCGUUUGUGACAUUGUUUGUGACACUUUGACACAUCGAGGCGCGGAUGAGCCGACAACCCACGCCGAAGACGAGGCUGUGGAGAUCAGGUCCCUGCUGCAGGGAUCCAGGUUACCAGCAACCAAUUAGCUCGUUCAGAUGAAGGGAGGCCUGCAUGCUACAGCAUACUGGGCUAAUGACACUCCGGGUACUCUCCUCUGUGUCAGAUUAAGGUGUGAACGCAGUAAUGGCACUUAGGUGCAGAUCAAAACAACCGUUUGGAGGAGGUGGACUUGGUACGGUUCCAGAUGAACUCCAGAGUGAUUCAUUUAUGGUGUGAACGUGAUCCGACCCCAAUAUGAACCAAGUUUGAGAUAAAAAAUGUCCUAUAGCAACUUUGUAACGUUCUACUUACUUUCAAAGUUUUAAAUGGAAUGGCUUCCAGUCAUUCAAGCAAACUCCUCAACAUGUAUAACCCCAAAAGAGCACUGAGAUCGUCUAGCCAGAUGCUCUUAGUACAGUCAAGGUCUCGACUGAAGCGUAGAGGAGAUCGGGCCUUUGCAGUUGUAGUGCCUAGACUCUGGAUUCAUUUGCCAUUUUUCAUGUUGGCUUUUGAUUCAGUUUGAAUAGAAUCCAGUUUGUUUUAUGUUUGUUUUGUUUUAUUUUUAUGUUGAAUAUAUUGUCAUUACCUCAUUAUC
Molecule: long non-coding RNA, 738 nt
Organism: Oreochromis aureus
Lineage: Eukaryota; Metazoa; Chordata; Actinopteri; Cichliformes; Cichlidae
Exons: 3
Source: RefSeq, a predicted model, not a curated record